RNAcentral lists this ribosomal RNA (510 nucleotides) under uncultured bacterium. Its description in RNAcentral is "partial 16S ribosomal RNA". It matches the Rfam family "Bacterial small subunit ribosomal RNA", at positions 28 to 523 of the family's 1533-position model. The record is from RNAcentral.
GACGAACGCUGGCGGCGUGCUUUAGGCAUGCAAGUCGAACGCGAAAGCCUCUUCGGGGGUGAGUAGAGUGGCGAACGGGUGAGUAACACGUGGGUAACCUGCCCCUCGCAGGGGGAUAACCGGGGGAAACCCCGGCUAAUACCCCGUACGCUUGCUGGGGCGCAUGCUCCGGCAAGGAAAGGUAGCUUCGGCCAUCCGGCGAGGGAGGGGCCCGCGGCCCAUUAGCUAGUUGGUGGGGUAACGGCCCACCAAGGCGACGAUGGGUAGCUGGCCUGAGAGGGUGGCCAGCCACACUGGGACUGAGACACGGCCCAGACUCCUACGGGAGGCAGCAGCCCGGAAUCUUGCGCAAUGGGCGAAAGCCUGACGCAGCAACGCCGCGUGGGCGAUGAAGGCCUUCGGGUCGUAAAGCCCUGUUGUCGGGGACGAAGGGCGAAGGGUUAAUAGCCCCUAGCCUGACGGUACCCGACGAGGAAGCCCCGGCUAACUACGUGCCAGCAGCCGCCGUAA